AAUCAAGUGCCUUAAGGGUGUUCGGUGGAUGCCUUGGCGCUAAGAGGCGAUGAAGNACGUGCUACGCUGCGAUAAG
RNAcentral lists this ribosomal RNA (76 nucleotides) under Bradyrhizobium japonicum. Its description in RNAcentral is "partial 23S ribosomal RNA". The record is from RNAcentral. Lineage: Bacteria; Pseudomonadati; Pseudomonadota; Alphaproteobacteria; Hyphomicrobiales; Nitrobacteraceae.